UUUAUCACGAGCCAUUUAUUCAGUAGUAGUUGGAGGAGUCUACAAAGACACCAACAAUAAGCCAAUAGUUCAAAAUCAGCACAGUUAUUUUUGCCUGAGGAAAAUCCAAGCCAGAUGGUGGCAGAGUAUCAGGAAAAGUAAAGCCAAGCUCCCAAACUGAGCAAGGAGUUUUGUAAAAUCCCCUUACUUUAGGUUUUUCUGCUCAAUCCUUUGCUAGACCAGCAAUUUAGCUUCCUACCAACUGGGUUUAUUGAACUCUUAAGUAUCACUGGAAAACAAGAUACAUAAGAUAUUCAAGCUCUCGUCCAUCCAAGCGUCCUGGUUCAUGUCUUCGUUUGCAAGCAGCCACUCGUCCCUCCUCAGACCAGUGGCAAUUCAAACAAGGGGCAAAUAAGUUCUGAGGAGCUUUGGGGGAAACUGGAAUGGUGUUUGAAUCUAUUAAAAAGCUACAGCUGACCCGAAUGGAUAAAGUCCAGUCUAUUGACUGGACAAAGGGCCCAGAGGAACUGAAGUUGCCGCUUCCUUUAGCCAUACUCCCAAGUAAGUCAGAUUUACUGAAACUGAAGUGUUUGCUUCUCCACGGGAGAAACUAUUCCGCUUGGUGGUCACAGUAAAGUAGCCAAUAUUUGAACCAACUGUUCUGCUUCCAGUCUUCCCAAUGCCAUCAUCUGCUGUGGCAUGAAGCCAACAUAUUAAGUACCAAAGAGAAUAUUCUGAAAAGCAAUUAGAUUUGCCACAGAUAGUCACAAACAUUCUUAGGCAAUUGUUAGAACUACAUUGCAGGGUCAAAUUUGUGGACCAAGGAAGACCCCCCCCCCCCCCCACUGAAGAAUAAUGUUCAUUGGAGGUCAGCUCACGCAACACACUUCCUGGGAGGUUCAGGACUUGUUUCCCACUUCCGUCAUUUAAACUAGACAGGCUCUUCAUCCCCUGUAAAGUCCCAUGCACAUGUUUAUAAUUAUUCUUCUUCUGAAGUGAGUUCCCUCUCCAGAGAGUUAAGAGGAACAAUGGGAAGAAACAGACACCCUGGGGGCAGUGAUGAGGGAGGGUCUAUGCACCUGGAAAAACCACACUAAAAUUCAGAGCUGGAAGGGGCCUCUGAGAGCACCUGGUGACUUCCCAAGAUCAUGUGGUUGGCAAGGGGCAGAGCUGGUCAGAAUUCCAGUCCCACUGACUCCUCGCUGGGGGCACUAUUCACUUAGUCAUCAUUUUAGGAGGCUGUGUCUAGUUUCUAAAUAAAGUCCAGCUAGCAAUCCAGAUCUCCUGUGCUACCCCCUGAAAUGAC
This 1285-nucleotide long non-coding RNA is filed under the name Canis lupus familiaris (dog). RNAcentral describes it as "lncRNA (ENSCAFG00845006168.1)". The record is from RNAcentral. Lineage: Eukaryota; Metazoa; Chordata; Mammalia; Carnivora; Canidae.